UGGCUCAGAGGUUAAAGCAUCUGCCUCCAAUGCAGGAGACCUGGGUUCAAUCCCUG
RNAcentral lists this transfer RNA (56 nucleotides) under Capra hircus (goat). It matches the Rfam family "tRNA", at positions 8 to 63 of the family's 71-position model. Rfam says of the family: Transfer RNA (tRNA) molecules are approximately 80 nucleotides in length. Their secondary structure includes four short double-helical elements and three loops (D, anti-codon, and T loops). Lineage: Eukaryota; Metazoa; Chordata; Mammalia; Artiodactyla; Bovidae. The record is from Rfam by way of RNAcentral.